Small nucleolar RNA from Microcebus murinus (gray mouse lemur), 75 nucleotides. NCBI's taxonomy places the organism in Eukaryota, Metazoa, Chordata, Mammalia, Primates, Cheirogaleidae. The record is from Ensembl.
GUAGGCAGCCUUUGAUGAAGCCUGUGUUGGUAAGGACACCUGAGGGUGAAGUGUGGCAGAGUUAAAGGAACCAAC